CCUUAUACGAUGAUUAUCGUGAUGAGUGUCCACACAGAUUGAUACGGUUUAUAACGUAAGAGAGCAGAGUGUUCCCAAACACUCACAACUAGUGUCCCGUUCGUCUAGAGGCCUAGGACACCGCCCUUUCACGGCGGUAACAGGGGUUCGACUCCCCUACGGGAUACCAUUGGGUCGUUAGCUCAGUUGGUAGAGCAGUUGACUUUUAAUCAAUUGGUCGCAGGUUCGAAUCCUGCACGACCCACCAUUUCCUGCCACAGGAAAUCAAAAUAUAUGUGGGCGAUUAGCUCAGUUGGGAGAGCACCUGCCUUACAAGCAGGGGGUCACUGGUUCGAGCCCGGUAUCGCCCACCAUUCUCUAAGUAUUUUUGGAUAAUCUUUCCAAACCACUUCAUUAAAACGUAUGUGGUUGGAAUUUUUGACGCCUAUGCAGCGUAGCUGAAAGUCUUUAGAAAAUGUACUUCUUAGGAAGUGACAUAGCUCUUUAACAAUUUGGAAAGCUGACGAAUAACAACAAUCCCCUCAUCUACGGAUAAGCGUUGUUAUUCAAAUUAAAAGUUCUCAAAUCCUAAAACUGUGUUUUAGGUACCAACACACAUUCAAGUGUUCUUGGAAACAUCCUUGUGAUGUUUAUAUUUGAGUCCGGCAAAAUCGAAUGUCUCUCGCUCAUUCAAUAAUGAGAGACACAAACCUUGGUUGUUUGAACAUACAAGACCUCUUGGGGUUGUAU
Molecule: transfer RNA, 729 nt
Filed under: Vibrio nigripulchritudo
Lineage: Bacteria; Pseudomonadati; Pseudomonadota; Gammaproteobacteria; Vibrionales; Vibrionaceae
Description: partial 16S-23S ribosomal RNA intergenic spacer
Rfam family: tRNA (bases 172-244)
Source: RNAcentral